Molecule: RNA transcript, 966 nt
Organism: Branchiostoma floridae (Florida lancelet)
Lineage: Eukaryota; Metazoa; Chordata; Leptocardii; Amphioxiformes; Branchiostomatidae
Exons: 4
Source: RefSeq, a predicted model, not a curated record
ACUAAUGUUUGUUCGCAUUUGGGAAGGAAGUAAGAGAAACAUGGCGACCUCCACGGAAAGAUUUGCCCGAAUCGUGUACAAAAACUGGCCCACUAAUGUUUUUAACCCGCUCACCAGGGUUAUAAACAAGCGCAUGUGGAGAUGGACAAGUGGCGUGACCUUGAAACCAACUGCCAAGAUUCUAGUCGAGUUUGACCCCUGGUUAGGUCCGGAGAAAACCAUCUCCUGUCGAAACACUCUCAGAAUGUUCGCCAACCAGAAAGCGAGGAAGACCAACCCAAAGUGUGAAAUCACAACAAAGAUCAAGAACGACAGAUCCGAACCAAUCAUCAACAUAGAAUACACGGAUGGAGAAAGACUGAUCUUCAAGUCGGCACAUCUGCAUGAACUGGAAAUCAUGGAGAGGUACAUGAAGAAAUGUGCUGAGAAGGACCCAGAAAUCAAGCUACCCUUGUGAAAUAUCCACUGAAGGACAGUUAAAAAGCAUCCACAAGACAUUCUCCUAUGCAGAGAAACCGUCACCAUCAGUUCCUGACCGCCUUGCUUAUUAAUAUUAAUGCGCUUUCCCUUAUAUAUACGAGAUCCCUUUUGAAAACUGAAAGGCCUAUACUCUGAUUGACUGACAACUGGUUUGUGGCGACGUCCACAGGAACUGAUGGUUGAGAUAGCAGAGUACAGACAAGAGGCGGUUUGCUGGUGCCUUUGGAUGUCUCUGCGUAGGAGAAUGCCACAAGACAAUAAAGCUCUGAAUUUAUCAGGAAUACAGUUUGAUGGUGUAAUUGGCCAAAAGUGUAUUUAAAAAUGCAUUUUUGGAGGACCCAGAAAUCAAACUACCCAAGUGAAGCAUCAACUACAAAUGAUUAAAAAACAAAGAAUGUUUGAAUGAUAGUGGAUUUGUUUUGGAAAACACAUUUGACCCUUCGACCUAGGAAAAUGCCCAAUAAAGCUACUCAAUUGAAGCAUCAA